This 686-nucleotide ribosomal RNA is filed under the name Enterobacter cloacae. RNAcentral describes it as "bacterial SSU rRNA". It matches the Rfam family "Bacterial small subunit ribosomal RNA", at positions 676 to 1361 of the family's 1533-position model. Lineage: Bacteria; Pseudomonadati; Pseudomonadota; Gammaproteobacteria; Enterobacterales; Enterobacteriaceae. The record is from RNAcentral.
GUGCGGUGAAAUGCGUGAGAUCUGGGGGAGCCCCGUGGGGAGGGGCCCCCUGGUCAUAGAAAGACGCUUCAGGUGCGAAAGACUGGGGAGCACCCAGGAGUGUAUAUCCCCGGUGGUCCUCCCCCGCAAACAAUGUUGCCUAUGAGGAGGUGGCCUCCCGCCGCCGCCUCCUCAGGAAACACGUUAAUAACUCCACCCGGGGGGAGGCCCCCCCAGGGUUAAACCUAAAAUGAAUCGGGGGGCGCCCGCACCAGGGGUGGAGCAUGUGUUUUUUAUUUGAUGCAACGGGAAGACCCUUCCCUACUUUCGACAUCCAGAGAAUUUAGCAGAGAUGCUUUUGUGCCUUCGGGAACUGUGAGACAGGUGCUGCAUGGCUGUCGUCAGCUCGUGUUGUGAAAUGUUGGGUUAAGUCCCGCAACGAGCGCAACCCUUAUCCUUUGUUGCCAGCGGUUAGGCCGGGAACUCAAAGGAGACUGCCAGUGAUAAACUGGAGGAAGGUGGGGAUGACGUCAAGUCAUCAUGGCCCUUACGAGUAGGGCUACACACGUGCUACAAUGGCGCAUACAAAGAGAAGCGACCUCGCGAGAGCAAGCGGACCUCAUAAAGUGCGUCGUAGUCCGGAUUGGAGUCUGCAACUCGACUCCAUGAAGUCGGAAUCGCUAGUAAUCGUGGAUCAGAAUGCCACG